GUUGUAGAGCAAAACAUGCUCAAACAGAAUCACAGGGUUAUCACUUUUGAUAGCUGCCUUCAUCAAGCCCUUAGCAUUGUAGGGGGUUGAACAGGCGACCAUCUGGAUUCCAGGAAUUGACUGGAAGUAUGACUCAAGGCGUUGAGAGUGCUCUGCUCCAAGCUGUCGACCAACUCCACCAGGACCUCGGAUGACAACUGGUAUCUUAAACUGGCCACCAGAUGUGUAGUGGAGCAUACCGCAGUUGUUAGAUAUCUGGUUGAAGGCCAGAAGAAGAAAUCCCAUGUUCAUUCCCUCAAUAACUGGACGCAAGCCAGUCAUUGCAGCUCCAAUGCCCAUACCAGUGAAAGAGUUCUCAGCAAUAGGAGUAUCAAGAACCCUGAGAUCACCAUAUUUUGGGGCAAGGCCUUUAGUCACCUUGUACGAACCUCCAUAAUGACCGACAUCUUCACCCAUUACACAAACAGCGGGAUCCCUGUCCAUUUCUUCUUCAAGACCUUCACGGAGGGCCUCAAAGAGCAAUAGUUCAUGCCCUGGCUUUGAUGAAGUAGAAGCUGCAGCAGUAUCUUCUUUAGUAGCAACAGCAUUAGUAAUUAAUUGUUCAGCUCUUCCUCCACGUCCAUUCAAACCAUAGCUCAAACCCCCAUCAGAUCUAACCACAAAAGUCCUUCCUUUCCUCUCUGCACCAACUGACAAAGAUCUGCGAGAAUUAGAGAAAAAUGUCUUCUUGGUGUCCAAAGAACUGGCUGAGGUUAGUGCAGUAGCAGCACCAAUUCCUUGUAUAAUAGCAGCCAUCUAGAAAACCCCACGAAGAAAAAUGGAUUCUUGAUUCCAAUAAAUGAAGAGAAAAUGCAGUAUAAUAAUGAGGGAGAUGAAGAAUCAAAUAUAUAUGCACACAAAAUAGGUGAAAAG
This 912-nucleotide unclassified non-coding RNA is filed under the name Hevea brasiliensis (rubber tree). Lineage: Eukaryota; Viridiplantae; Streptophyta; Magnoliopsida; Malpighiales; Euphorbiaceae. The record is from RNAcentral.